This 997-nucleotide long non-coding RNA is filed under the name Astyanax mexicanus (Mexican tetra). Its description in RNAcentral is "lncRNA (ENSAMXG00005020928.1)". The record is from RNAcentral. Lineage: Eukaryota; Metazoa; Chordata; Actinopteri; Characiformes; Acestrorhamphidae.
AUGUUAAAUGCACUUUUAGUAUUAUUUACCAAAUUUGAACAUUCUUGCUCCUAUAUGAUCAGUGCAGCUGAAAAAAUAUAUAUAAUGGAUGUAGAAUCAAGAGAAGGUGGACAUGUUGAGCUUGAUCGGUGUAAAUAUAUAUAUAUAUAUAUAUAUAUAUAUAUAUAUAUAUUUUGUUCAUGUCAUUUAGCUACAUCUCCUUCACCAUCACAAGUCAGCCAUGCAACAUCUACACCUUCACCUACCAAUUCACCAACAUCUACUCCAUCUCAUACUACCACCCACCAAAGCACGAGAACAACGACAUCAUUGUCAUCACAACCCAGGAAUAUGACCUCCCCAUCUGCAUCUAACAAAAACAGUGGAAAUAUGCAAAAGAAUCAAGCAGAUCUGGAAAAAAACAACCUGGAAAAAAACAAAGGUAAGUGUGGGACCACAUUACACAUUGUUAAAUUCUCAGCUUCUACUAUUUUACUGACUAAAACCAAGUCUUUGCCCUUUUUUUCUAGAUAAUAUUUUCUUAUCAUUAUUGACUGUAUCCUGUACGGUCAAUGUUGCUUUGAUUAUCCUUGUGUUGUGGCAGUGCAGGAGCAGGCGUCCAAAUAAUCUUCAGGUAAGAUAUUUAUUUAAAUUCCUUACAUUUAUGUGUUUUUUUUGUGUGGAAGGUGACAUAGAGUACCAGUUGAAAGUCUGCAUUGUAGAUUAAUACUAAAGUCACUCAAACUAUGAAGAGAAUUGUAUACAAAAAAGUGUUAAAUAUUAUUUUACAACCUAUUUCAAUGUCCAUUGCUUCAUUUACAUGCACUGGUUUUGUUCAUAAGGACAAAAAAAAUCAGUAUGUCCAGUUGAGUUUGUCAUUGUCAUUGUGGUGAAGAUUUCGGUGAAAAUAGAUUGACUCAGGAGGAAGAUGGUGGCUUCCGUGGUAACAAGUUUCUCUGAACUUGUUCUACUUAAUCUUCUCUUUAUUUUCCUUAAAUAAACCACUGCUACUUGUUCA